Molecule: long non-coding RNA, 405 nt
Filed under: Rattus norvegicus (Norway rat)
Lineage: Eukaryota; Metazoa; Chordata; Mammalia; Rodentia; Muridae
Description: long non-coding RNA NONRATT009301
Source: RNAcentral
GUGUCCAAUCAGGAGAUGCUUGCUGACUCCUUAGUUCCCGUCCUUUUAAAAAGCAGCUGCACACCACACAGGAAACGCUUUACAGUUGUGAGCAAUGCCUUUGAACAUGGCAUGGGAGGUUAGCCCAACACUGACUUGGACGCUCACGGACCAUGUCGGCGCAGACUGCGAGCGGCCCCACGGAGGACCAGGUGGAGAUCCUGGAGUACAACUUCAACAAGGUCAACAAGCACCCCGACCCCACCACGCUGUGCCUCAUCGCAGCCGAGGCGGGCCUCACGGAGGAGCAGACGCAGAAAUGGUUUAAGCAGCGCCUGGCGGAGUGGCGGCGGUCAGAAGGCCUGCCUUCGGAAUGCAGAUCGGUCACGGACUAGGGAGCCAGGCCCUUGAGCUUGCUCCCGGAAC